This 253-nucleotide ribosomal RNA is filed under the name uncultured bacterium. RNAcentral's name for it is "partial 16S ribosomal RNA". It matches the Rfam family "Bacterial small subunit ribosomal RNA", at positions 524 to 776 of the family's 1533-position model. The record is from RNAcentral.
UACGUAGGGUGCGAGCGUUACUCGGAAUUACUGGGCGUAAAGCGCGCGCAGGCGGCUUCGCAAGUCGAGUGUGAAAUCCCCGAGCUUAACUUGGGAAUUGCGCUCGAAACUACGGAGCUGGAGUGCGGCAGAGGAAGGUGGAAUUCCACGUGUAGCGGUGAAAUGCGUAGAGAUGUGGAGGAACACCGAUGGCGAAGGCAGCCUCCUGGGCCGGCACUGACGCUCAUGCGCGAAAGCGUGGGGAGCAAACAGG